Molecule: transfer RNA, 16 nt
Filed under: Populus x canadensis (hybrid black poplar)
Lineage: Eukaryota; Viridiplantae; Streptophyta; Magnoliopsida; Malpighiales; Salicaceae
Also listed under: 33 other names
Description: partial tRNA-His
Source: RNAcentral
GCGGAUGUAGCCAAGU